UGGGGAAUAUUGCGCAAUGGGCGAAAGCCUGACGCAGCGACGCCGCGUGAGGGAUGAAGGUUUUCGGAUCGUAAACCUCUGUCAGAAGGGAAGAAACCGCACUGUGCUAAUCAGCAGUGCCUUGACGGUACCUUCAAAGGAAGCCCCGGCUAACUCCGUGCCAGCAGCCGCGGUAAUACGGAGGGUGCAAGCGUUAAUCGGAAUUACUGGGCGUAAAGCGCACGUAGGCUGCUUUGUAAGUCAGGGGUGAAAUCCCACGGCUCAACCGUGGAACUGCCUUUGAUACUGCUUAGCUUGAAUCCGGGAGAGGGUGGCGGAAUUCCAGGUGUAGGAGUGAAGUCCGUAGAUAUCUGGAGGAACAUCAGUGGCGAAGGCGGCCACCUGGAGCGGUAUUGACGCUGAGGUGCGAAAGCGUGGGGAGCAAACAGG
Molecule: ribosomal RNA, 429 nt
Filed under: Fusobacteriota bacterium
Lineage: Bacteria; Fusobacteriati; Fusobacteriota
Description: Fusobacteria bacterium partial 16S ribosomal RNA
Rfam family: Bacterial small subunit ribosomal RNA
Source: RNAcentral